AGUAAUAUUGUUGGUGUUUACAGUGUGCUCAGCGCUCACGCUGUCUUGGUACACAAGAGUGAGCCGAGAGUUGAAUAUUACCGCGCGGCGGCUCGCGUCCCAUCUAUUUUCCAGCGUCGUCCUGCCGCGAGUCUUCAGGGAAAAGCUGGUGGAAGAAGUGGUCGAGACUGAUCUGCAGUUGCACCUGAGAGUCCACUUCCCAACAGAUCGAGCACUCUACCGUCGAUGUUCACUCCCCGUUUUGUCCUGUGCUGAAUUCUGGUAGGAAGAAUGGAGUGUCAGUCGUGUCAAAGCUACUGACUAAGGCAGGAGAGCCCAGCAGCAGUGCUUUUGGAUGCUGAGGUCAGAGAACAGUAAGUUCCAGUCUUUUCUGAUGUAUUCAGGAGUUGAUGUCCCAUUUGAUGGCCCAAAUGUAGGUAACACUUUAUUUGGAGUGCUCCUUUGUAGAUGAUUAAUAAACUCUUAACAGAUUAUCAGAAACACAUCAACAACAUAUCAGUGGAGUAGCAGUAGUGAAGCGUCUGAAUACACUGAGGUAAAUAACUUGUAGAUGUUCUGU
This is a long non-coding RNA of Pygocentrus nattereri (red-bellied piranha), 559 nucleotides long. Lineage: Eukaryota; Metazoa; Chordata; Actinopteri; Characiformes; Serrasalmidae. The record is from Ensembl.